Chenopodium quinoa (quinoa) is the source of this 3134-nucleotide long non-coding RNA. RefSeq lists it as uncharacterized. The transcript is spliced from 2 exons. The record is from RefSeq and is a predicted model, not a curated record. Lineage: Eukaryota; Viridiplantae; Streptophyta; Magnoliopsida; Caryophyllales; Amaranthaceae.
CAACGGUUAACCGUUGCCAAUUAAAAAAAAAAAAACCCGUAUAUAUACAUGAUUUCCUUUCUGCGCUCUCUUUCUCUUCUCCUUCCCCUAUUCCCCCUGUUUCUCUGAAUCUCCCUAACCUCUUUGAAUCUCUUUCUCUUCUCCUUCCCCUUCUGUUUCUCCUUCCCGUUUCUCCUUCCCCUUCUGUUUCUCCUUCCCGUUUCUCCUUCCCCUUCUGUUUCUCCUUCCCCUUAUUUCUCGUCUUUCUCGCCUUUUUGGGGUAAUUCAGAUCCGUAUUUUUUUGGGGUACGAAUUGCGGAAAGGAGGAGGCGAAAUACGAGGCAAGAGGUUAAGUUAAGUUAUUUUUUGUCUUUAAUAUUUCAUUCGGUUAUUAGAUUUUGUCAAAUAAUUUUACAGUUUUUUUGGUCAAAAUUGGGAAAAAUCGAACAAAAAAACCCUAAAUUUCGAAUUUGGGAGUUUUCAAUUCGGUCCAUUAUUCUUGAAAUUGUUUGUUCCAUGUUGUUAUGCUAUGUUUAAGGAGUGUUUUGCAACAAAUUUCAUGAAAAAUGGUUAAGUAUUAAACCUUGUAUGAGCAUGUCUUUGUUCGAGUUCGUUCUUUGUAUAAAGGUAAGAAAUUUGUUUUACUAGAGUCCUUUCAACUCUGAUUGAUGGAUGGAAUACGAAUACUCGAAAUAUAGCUCGUUUCGUGGUGUUGAGUUGGGGGUGAUAAUGUGAAUGUAAAUCAUGGUUAUUGGGUCUUAGAGUACCCCUAAUUGGUUUAGGAAAAAGCUGUGGAUUGUCAAGAUAAGUGAGAAAUGUGUGUUGCUGAAUUUGCUAUCAACUACGGUUGAAUGUUAUCAGCUGGUUUUGUUGAUGUGAAAUUCCUCUUGAUAUCUUAUCAUUUACACUCUUUAAUUAUUGCGUUUAAGGUGGUUAUGGGACGUGGAGCUGUCCACUGCGCUAAUUUAUGCAUCCAUAUGCACAAAGAAAGAGACACAUUUAUUAGAAUUAGACGCGUAACCAUAUUGUAGCUUAUGCACUGUUUCCCUGAUGGUGGAUUUUAAGAACAAGGCUCUAGAUGCUUUGUUUAUGUUAGAUUAAAAACAAAUCAGGAUCAUGCAGCAGACAAACUAAAUACGGAGGAUGGUGACGCCUUUAUUGAUUCUUUUUAUUUAAAUGCAAGCAGUAAGUUCAACACUAUGUUCAUUUAAUCUAGUUUCAGAAACAUAAUGUUGCACUUAUUUGGAUUUGGAUCUUUUACAUUAAACUCAAUUUUAUACUGUGAAUUUAAUAAUAGCUCUCUUGUUAUAUCCUGCAUACAUCCAAGAUUCAUGACUUGCAAUAGGAAAAGUUAGGUUUUGGGGCUUGAAAACUCUCUGAUGCUAAACAAAUAAUUCUGUGAGAUAUUGGGAGAAAGGGAAGAUAAAAUGACAUGAAGGUUACACAAGUUAUCUUUAUAAUCUUUCCAUUGUUAUCCUCGAGAUCAACUAGGAGUUUCUCCAAGUAGUUAUAUGACUCGGGUUGGAUCUGGUUAAAGGGCAAACAAAAAUGGGUCUGAUUGCAGUUAUUUCUGACAAACCUUGUGAAUAUUAGUUAAAUUGCUUAAUCUCAUUUUUCUUUUCAGGUUCUGAGUCCCUGGCUGAUAAAUGGUGAACAUUGAAUUUAAGUGUCGUUACUCUUGUUGGUAUCCACUUACUGCUUAAAAAACAGUGGAGGAAGAAAUUGAGGAUGGCGAUGAAUUCAGACCAUUUAAUUCAAACUAGAGGUUAACUUCUUCUGAUAUUUUGAUGGAAAGUAUGUAUCUUCAUUUAAAAUAACUAUUAUCCCUUUUUGCUUAUAUUACCAGGUUAGAUAGAUUAUACUAUUAAUACUAUACAUUACAAAAUCAAGCUUCUGAUGUUGCUACAAUACAUUGAUCCGAUGGUAAAUAUUAUUAUGAGAAUUUAAAUCUACUGGUGAACUGCAUAAGAGAGCUGAUAAAAAGCUACGGGUACAAAGGAUAAUGAUGUAGACGAGUUUCGAGCUCGUAUACCACGACGGCUUAAUGACUACUAGUUGAGCCGCUGACAUAUACACAUGCCUUUAUUUUAUCUGUUGGGAGAAGCAUUUGGUUCUGAUAUGAUCUUUCAAAAAUGUAGGGUUUGCUUUAAAUGUUGAAACAAGUUCAGAACUUUUAUGUUGCUUUGUUAUGCUUGCUGGUCUUUAUACUUGUUUAUGAAACUUAGAAUUGGAAAAUAGUUAAGAGCACAAACAUGAUGUGUGAGGUGUGACGACAACAAAGUUGAUACUUUCUCCAGUUAUUAAUUCAGCCUUUUACUUAGAACUUUUAAGAAGAUCUUGAAAAUUAUUUAAAGAUUAAUUGGGGUUGUGGUGGUUGAUUUUGCAAUAUAGUGAGUCCCUUUUUCGUGGUCUGAUUUUGCAAUAUAGAGUCCCUAAGAUCUCAAUGAUUUAAUUUGAGAGAUCAUUCUUGUUACUAAAUCUAAAUGAUGAAGGGACUUAGCUGAUUUUGAAAUGGCAUGUUUGAUUUGCUAACAUUAUUGAGGUAACAAACAGGAUUUCAUUUCUUGUGAUCAAAUUACAAUCUCUCUGAUGGAUUUAAGAUGUCACUCAUGAUUGGUUCAAUGUGUACACAAACCUCAAGCCUUCAAAAAUAUGAGCUUUGUCCUUUGCCAUCCGGUUCUCCAUGGUUGACUGAUUUCCUUUAAAUUUUUAUUUUUAUUUUUGCUGUGUAUGGGUUAUGUUGCUGAGGUGGUGAAAUGGGGAGGAUGGUAUAAGCUAUUCUAUAACAUUUGUAUGUGGAGUAUUUUGACAAAUUUUCGGGAUUUCUUUCCGGUUUGCUGCUAUCACUGUUGUUGCUGUUACUGCUAUCCCUGCUGCUGCUGUCCCUGCUUGUUGUCGCUGCUUUUCUUUGCAUGCUGAUGCUGUCUGCCUGCUGCUGCUGCUGAUUCUGGAGGUUUCUGCCCAUGCUGCUGUUAUUCUUUCUUUUUUUUUUUCUGGCUUGUUGCUGUUUGUAACCUCCAAGUUUGGAGGGGUUUGUAUUUUUUUCACGUAGCGUAUUUAUUUGUGUAUGAGGACACGGUGCGGCUGUACUUUAUGAGGGCUUGCCCUUUUUUCUUUUAGUAAUAAUAUCCCUUUCUUACCUACCAAAAAAAAAA